GACCUUACCAGCUCUUGACAUGGCAGGACGGUUUCUGGAGACGGACUCCUUCACUUCGGUGACCUGCACACAGGUGCUGCAUGGCUGUCGUCAGCUCGUGUCGUGAGAUGUUGGGUUAAGUCCCGCAACGAGCGCAACCCUCGCCUCUAGUUGCCAUCAUUCAGUUGGGCACUCUAGAGGGACUGCCGGUGAUAAGCCGAGAGGAAGGUGGGGAUGACGUCAAGUCCUCAUGGCCCUUACGGGCUGGGCUACACACGUGCUACAAUGGCGGUGACAGUGGGACGCGAACCCGCGAGGGUGAGCAAAUCUCCAAAAGCCGUCUCAGUUCGGAUUGCACUCUGCAACUCGAGUGCAUGAAGUCGGAAUCGCUAGUAAUCGUAGAUCAGCAUGCUACGGUGAAUACGUUCCCGGGCCUUGUACACACCG
This 426-nucleotide ribosomal RNA is filed under the name uncultured bacterium. RNAcentral describes it as "bacterial SSU rRNA". It matches the Rfam family "Bacterial small subunit ribosomal RNA", at positions 966 to 1392 of the family's 1533-position model. The record is from RNAcentral.